Molecule: ribosomal RNA, 590 nt
Filed under: uncultured Burkholderia sp.
Lineage: Bacteria; Pseudomonadati; Pseudomonadota; Betaproteobacteria; Burkholderiales; Burkholderiaceae
Description: bacterial SSU rRNA
Rfam family: Bacterial small subunit ribosomal RNA
Source: RNAcentral
UCGGGUUGUAAAGCACUUUUGUCCGGAAAGAAAACUUCUGCAUUAAUACUGCGGGAGGAUGACGGUACCGGAAGAAUAAGCACCGGCUAACUACGUGCCAGCAGCGCGGUAAUCGUAGGGUGCGAGCGUUAAUCGGAAUUACUGGGCGUAAAGCGUGCGCAGGCGGUUCGUUAAGACAGAUGUGAAAUCCCCGGGCUUAACCUGGGAACUGCAUUUGUGACUGGCGAGCUAGAGUAUGGCAGAGGGGGGUAGAAUUCCACGUGUAGCAGUGAAAUGCGUAGAGAUGUGGAGGAAUACCGAUGGCGAAGGCAGCCCCCUGGGCCAAUACUGACGCUCAUGCACGAAAGCGUGGGGAGCAAACAGGAUUAGAUACCCUGGUAGUCCACGCCCUAAACGAUGUCAACUAGUUGUUGGGGAUUCAUUUCCUUAGUAACGUAGCUAACGCGUGAAGUUGACCGCCUGGGGUGUACGGUCGCAAGAUUAAAACUCAAAGGAAUUGACGGGGACCCGCACAAGCGGUGGAUGAUGUGGAUUAAUUCGAUGCAACGCGAAAAACCUUACCUACCCUUGACAUGGUCGGAACCCUGCUG